This 1623-nucleotide ribosomal RNA is filed under the name Leidyana erratica. Its description in RNAcentral is "SSU rRNA". It matches the Rfam family "Eukaryotic small subunit ribosomal RNA". The record is from RNAcentral. Lineage: Eukaryota; Apicomplexa; Conoidasida; Eugregarinorida; Leidyanidae.
CUGGAGGCGGGUGGGUGAACCGGCCGAUAGAUCAGGAUCCGGGUGGGUGAACAUACUAGGGAUGGAUUCCCGGGUAAUUCUGGAGCUAAUACAUGCGAAAACACCUGACUUUGUGGAAAGGUGGCAUUCAUUAGUCUUCGACCAACCAGGUUUCGGCCUGUUCAUGGUGAUCAUAAUGACCGAGCGGAUCGCUUUUGCGACAGUUCGUUCGAGUUUCUGACCUAUCAGCUCCCGUCGGUAGGGUAUUGGCCUACCGAGGCUGUGACGGGUAACGGGGAAUUAGGGUUCGAUUCCGGAGAGGGAGCCUGAGAGACGGCUACCACAUCUAAGGAUGGCAGCAGGCGCGCAAAUUACCCAAUCCCGAUACGGGGAGGUAGUGACCAGAAAUAGCGGCCCAGGACCAAUGGUUCUGUGAUUGCAAUGAGUGGAAAGCCAAAUUAUCUUUGCGGGUACUUAUUGGAGGGCAAGUCUGGUGCCAGCAGCCGCGGUAAUUCCAGUUUCAUUAGCGUAUAUUAAAUUGCUGCAGUUAAAGCGUCCGUAGUUGGAUUUCGUCUAAUUCGAAGGGAGGCUCGAUCCCACCUCGUGUGAAUCGUUGCGCCCUUUGUUUCCAGACUCGGGUGAAAGGUCGCAAGACUAUUUUACUCUGUUACUUUGAGCAAAUUGGAGUGCUCCAACCAGGCUUCUGCUUGAACAGCUCAGCAUGGAAUAACAAUAUAGGACUGUGAUCCUCCUUGUUGGUGAUGUGGAACACAAGUAAUGGUUGAUAGGGACAUACGGGGGCAUCUGUACUUGCUGGAGAGAGGUGAAAUUCUAAGACCCAGCAAAGACAAACAAGUGCGAAAGCAUUUGCCCAGUGUGUGCCUGUUAAUCAAGGACGAAAGUUGGGGGAUUGAAGACGAUUAGAUACCGUCGUAGUCCCAACUAUAAACUAUGCCGACUGAGGAUCGGAGGCUGUACAAAUACGACUCCUUCGGCACUCCAAGAGAAAUUUAAGUCUCUGGGCCCUGGGGGGAGUAUGGUCGCAAGGCUGAAACUUAAAGGAAUUGACGGAAGGGCACCACCAGGAGUGGAGCCUGCGGCUUAAUUUGACUCAACGCGGGGAACCUCACCAGGCCCGGACAUAGUCAUGAUUGACAGAUUGAGAGUUCUUUCUCGAUUCUAUGGGUGGUGGUGCAUGGCCGUUCUUAGUCGGUGAGGUGACUUGUCUGGUUAAUUCCGAUAACGGACGAGACCUCGACCUACUAACUAGCUGUGGUUUACUUUUGUAAGCAUUUCAGCUUCUUAGAGGGACUUUGUGAGUCUAUCACAAGGAAGUUCGAGCCUAUAACAGGUCUGUGAUGCCCUUAGAUGGCCUGGGAUGCACACGCGCUACAUCGACGAAGCCAGCGAGUAUUGCCCUUCUCCGUCCGGACUGGGAAAUAUUCUGAAAAUCGUCGUGAUAGGGAUUGACCUUUGCAAUUAUGGGUCACGAACGAGGAAUUCCUAGUAAGGACAAGUCAUCACCUUUUGCUGAUUACGUCCCUGCCCUUUGUACACACCGACCCGAAANUGGUCGAUCCUGGCGGUCGAAUUGAACUUGAUCGAUCCGGACGGUCGAAUGCAACUCGAUCGAUCCGGUCGAAC